This 301-nucleotide ribosomal RNA is filed under the name uncultured bacterium. RNAcentral's name for it is "partial 16S ribosomal RNA". It matches the Rfam family "Bacterial small subunit ribosomal RNA", at positions 509 to 808 of the family's 1533-position model. The record is from RNAcentral.
CAGUCGCCGCGGUAAGACGGAGGAUGCAAGCGUUAUCCGGAAUGAUUGGGCGUAAAGCGUCUGUAGGUGGUUUAUUAAGUCUACUGUUAAAGAUCAGGGCUUAACCCUGAGUCGGCAGUAGAAACUAAUGAGCUUGAGUACGGUAGGGGCAGAGGGAAUUCCCGGUGUAGCGGUGAAAUGCGUAGAGAUCGGGAAGAACACCAAUGGCGAAAGCACUCUGCUGGGCCGAAACUGACACUCAGAGACGAAAGCUAGGGGAGCGAAUGGGAUUAGAUACCCCUGUAGUACCUGUCUCUUAUAC